AUACGUAGGUGACAAGCGUUAUCCGGAUUUACUGGGCGUAAAGGGCGUGUAGGCGGUCUUGCAAGUCAGAAGUGAAAUUCCUGAGCUCAACUCGGGCGCUGCUUCUGAAACUGCAGGACUUGAGUGCUGGAGGGGAUAGCGGAAUUCCUAGUGGAGCGGUAAAAUGCGCAGAUAUUAGGAAGAACACCGGUGGCGAAGGCGGCUAUCUGGACAGUAACUGACGCUGAGGCUCGAAAGCGUGGGGAGCAAACAGGAUUAGAUCCCCUGGUAGUCCACGCCGUAAACGAUGAAUACUAGGUGUAGGGGGUAUCGACUCCCUCUGUGCCGCAGUUAACACAAUAAGUAUUCCGCCUGGGGAGUACGGCCGCAAGGUUGAAACUCAAAUGAAUUGACGGGG
This 397-nucleotide ribosomal RNA is filed under the name uncultured bacterium. Its description in RNAcentral is "partial 16S ribosomal RNA". It matches the Rfam family "Bacterial small subunit ribosomal RNA", at positions 523 to 918 of the family's 1533-position model. The record is from RNAcentral.